Molecule: transfer RNA, 103 nt
Organism: Tulasnella calospora
Lineage: Eukaryota; Fungi; Basidiomycota; Agaricomycetes; Cantharellales; Tulasnellaceae
Rfam family: tRNA
About the family: Transfer RNA (tRNA) molecules are approximately 80 nucleotides in length. Their secondary structure includes four short double-helical elements and three loops (D, anti-codon, and T loops).
Source: Rfam
GCCUCCUUGGCUCAGUGGCUAGAGCGUGUCUUUCCUAUAAUGCAAGGGGUCGAACCCGGCUAGGAAUAGGACGAGGUCGCGGGUUCGACCCCCGCAGGAGGUU